Hypoxylon fuscum is the source of this 80-nucleotide non-coding RNA. Lineage: Eukaryota; Fungi; Ascomycota; Sordariomycetes; Xylariales; Hypoxylaceae. The record is from the annotation of a GenBank genome assembly.
GUAUGGGUGGUGUAGCGGUAGCACCCAAACCUUUCACCCGGUGAAAGGUUGGAUCCGGGGUUCGACUCUCCGCCCAUGCG